UACGGAGGGGGCUAGCGUUGUUCGGAAUUACUGGGCGUAAAGCGCACGUAGGCGGCUUUCUAAGUCAGGGGUGAAAUCCUGGAGCUCAACUCCAGAACUGCCUUUGAUACUGGAGAGCUUGAGUCCGGAAGAGGUGAGUGGAACUCCGAGUGUAGAGGUGAAAUUCGUAGAUAUUCGGAAGAACACCAGUGGCGAAGGCGGCUCACUGGUCCGGUACUGACGCUGAUGUGCGAAAGCGUGGGGAGCAAACAGG
This 253-nucleotide ribosomal RNA is filed under the name uncultured bacterium. RNAcentral describes it as "partial 16S ribosomal RNA". It matches the Rfam family "Bacterial small subunit ribosomal RNA", at positions 524 to 776 of the family's 1533-position model. The record is from RNAcentral.